GCAUUCAUGGUUCAGUGGUAGAAUUCUCGCUUUCCAUGUGGAAGACUCGGGUUCGAUUCCCAGUCAAGGCA
Molecule: transfer RNA, 71 nt
Filed under: Loxodonta africana (African savanna elephant)
Lineage: Eukaryota; Metazoa; Chordata; Mammalia; Proboscidea; Elephantidae
Rfam family: tRNA
About the family: Transfer RNA (tRNA) molecules are approximately 80 nucleotides in length.
Source: Rfam by way of RNAcentral